Molecule: ribosomal RNA, 347 nt
Filed under: uncultured fungus
Lineage: Eukaryota; Fungi
Description: SSU rRNA
Rfam family: Eukaryotic small subunit ribosomal RNA
Source: RNAcentral
GUAGUCAUAUGCUUGUCUCAAAGAUUAAGCCAUGCAUGUCUAAGUAUAAGCAAUUUAUACGGUGAAACUGCGAAUGGCUCAUUAAAUCAGUUAUCGUUUAUUUGAUAGUACCUUACUACAUGGAUACCUGUGGUAAUUCUAGAGCUAAUACAUGCUGAAAACCACGACUUCGGAAGGUGUGUAUUUAUUAGAUAAAAAACCAAUGCCCUUCGGGGCUCCUUGGUGAAUCAUAAUAACUUAACGAAUCGCAUGGCCUUGCGCCGGCGAUGGUUCAUUCAAAUUUCUGCCCUAUCAACUUUCGAUGGUAGGAUAGUGGCCUACCAUGGUGGCAACGGGUAACGGGGAAU